This 301-nucleotide ribosomal RNA is filed under the name uncultured bacterium. Its description in RNAcentral is "partial 16S ribosomal RNA". It matches the Rfam family "Bacterial small subunit ribosomal RNA", at positions 509 to 807 of the family's 1533-position model. The record is from RNAcentral.
CAGCCGCCGCGGGAAUACGGAGGAUCCAAGCGUUAUCCGGAUUCAUUGGGUUUAAAGGGUCCGUAGGCGGUCUUGUAAGUCAGUGGUGAAAGCCCAUCGCUCAACGGUGGAACGGCCAUUGAUACUGCAGGACUUGAAUUAUUGGGAAGUAACUAGAAUAUGUAGUGUAGCGGUGAAAUGCUUAGAGAUUACAUGGAAUACCAAUUGCGAAGGCAGGUUACUACCAAUUGAUUGACGCUGAUGGACGAAAGCGUGGGUAGCGAACAGGAUUAGAUACCCCCGUAGUCCCUGUCUCUUAUAC